AUCAAUCAGCGUUAAUCCUUCUUGACAAAGCUUAACAAAGCUCGUAGACGCCAUAGUAGAAAUCUCCGCCGAAGGAAGAAAGAGAUCUGGAGAGUGAGAGAGAGAAUUGCGGGAUCUGAUGUGAAUUUUUCUUACUGGCAUCACCUACUUCCAGCAAGCGUAUGUGUUAAAUAGGGCCGAAAUAUUCUCUUUCUUAUCAACUGGGAUAGGCCAGAAGUGAUGGGAUACUUUCUCAGACAAUUAGUUAUUGGGCCAACUAGUAAUGGGCUCAGUUGCUGUUAAAGCUGCAUAUAAUAGCAAGAUGAGUCCACGACUGGUUUGGUUGGUACAUUGCCUGUAAAAGUAGAUACAUACGUCCAAAUGUUGGUGUUACUCAUGCUUGGCGAGUAAUAUGUAAAACAAGAGAUAGAGCUUAGACUAUCACCGAUGUAUUUUUCUAUUUUUAUUCUGAAAGAAGAAUUCUUAGAGUCCUACUAUUUUUAUUCUGAAAAAAGAAU
Molecule: long non-coding RNA, 497 nt
Filed under: Brassica napus (rape)
Lineage: Eukaryota; Viridiplantae; Streptophyta; Magnoliopsida; Brassicales; Brassicaceae
Description: long non-coding RNA (BNAP_LNC022933)
Source: RNAcentral